RNAcentral lists this long non-coding RNA (219 nucleotides) under Dasypus novemcinctus (nine-banded armadillo). RNAcentral describes it as "Highly up-regulated in liver cancer conserved region (ENSDNOG00000046808.1)". It matches the Rfam family "Highly up-regulated in liver cancer conserved region". The record is from RNAcentral. Lineage: Eukaryota; Metazoa; Chordata; Mammalia; Cingulata; Dasypodidae.
GCUUUGGAAGAGACCCUGAAGUAGAAGGUGAAAGGACUCUUUGUUUAAAACUUUUUUUUUUUUUUUAAUGUCAAGCUAGAAGUUUUGUGACAACAAACUAAGCUCACAGUUAGUUUUUAAGGAAUAUAAAUGAAGUUCAGCUAUAGCAAAUUUGCACUCUUUCCAUGAAUUAAAUUGCUCUCAAAGAAAAAGGAUCGAAAGGAUUAAAACUAAAACUAG